RNAcentral lists this ribosomal RNA (816 nucleotides) under Nocardioides jensenii. RNAcentral's name for it is "bacterial SSU rRNA". It matches the Rfam family "Bacterial small subunit ribosomal RNA", at positions 93 to 920 of the family's 1533-position model. The record is from RNAcentral. Lineage: Bacteria; Bacillati; Actinomycetota; Actinomycetes; Propionibacteriales; Nocardioidaceae.
GAGCGGCGAACGGGUGAGUAACACGUGAGCAAUCUGCCCUUCACUUUGGGAUAACUACCGGAAACGGUGGCUAAUACCGAAUACGACAACUUCAGGCAUCUGGUGGUUGUGGAAAGUUCUGGCGGUGAAGGAUGAGCUCGCGGCCUAUCAGCUUGUUGGUGAGGUAAUGGCUCACCAAGGCUUCGACGGGUAGCCGGCCUGAGAGGGUGACCGGCCACACUGGGACUGAGACACGGCCCAGACUCCUACGGGAGGCAGCAGUGGGGAAUAUUGGACAAUGGGCGAAAGCCUGAUCCAGCAACGCCGCGUGAGGGAUGACGGCCUUCGGGUUGUAAACCUCUUUCAGCAGGGACGAAGCGCAAGUGACGGUACCUGCAGAAGAAGCACCGGCCAACUACGUGCCAGCAGCCGCGGUAAUACGUAGGGUGCGAGCGUUGUCCGGAAUUAUUGGGCGUAAAGGGCUCGUAGGCGGUUUGUCACGUCGGGAGUGAAAACCAGGUGCUUAACACCUGGCCUGCUUCCGAUACGGGCAGACUAGAGGUAUGCAGGGGAGAACGGAAUUCCUGGUGUAGCGGUGAAAUGCGCAGAUAUCAGGAGGAACACCGGUGGCGAAGGCGGUUCUCUGGGCAUUACCUGACGCUGAGGAGCGAAAGUGUGGGGAGCGAACAGGAUUAGAUACCCUGGUAGUCCACACCGUAAACGUUGGGCGCUAGGUGUGGGACUCAUUCCACGAGUUCCGUGCCGCAGCUAACGCAUUAAGCGCCCCGCCUGGGGAGUACGGCCGCAAGGCUAAAACUCAAAGGAAUUGACGGGGGC